AAAAGUCGUAACAAGGUCUCCGUUGGUGAACCAGCGGAGGGAUCAUUAAAGAGUUGCAAAACUCCCUUAAACCAUCGUGAACACACCUCUGAACAGUUGCUUCGGCAGGCCGGCCUCCUCCCGGGGGUCGACUAAGGCCUGCCGGAGGUACCCAAACCAUUGUUUUUGCAGGCCUCUCUGAGUUUAUUACUUAAUAAGUCAAAACUUUCAACAACGGAUCUCUUGGCUCUG
This 231-nucleotide unclassified non-coding RNA is filed under the name fungal sp. RNAcentral describes it as "partial internal transcribed spacer region". The stretch from base 1 to 48 matches the Rfam family "Eukaryotic small subunit ribosomal RNA", at positions 1784 to 1831 of the family's 1831-position model. Lineage: Eukaryota; Fungi. The record is from RNAcentral.